GAUGAACGCUGGCGGCGUGCCUAACACAUGCAAGUCGAGCGAGAUAAAUGUGAGUGGAGACUUCGGUCAAAGCAAUCAUUUUGAAAGCGGCGGACGGAUGAGUAACGCGUGAGCAAUCUGCCCCAUACAAAGGGAUACCCACUGGGAACGGUGAUUAAUACCUUAUAAGACACGAAGUCGCCAGGCUUAGUGGCCAAAGAUUUAUCGGUAUGGGAUGAGCUCGCGUCUGAUUAGCUAGUUGGUGAGGUAAUGGCUCACCAAGGCGACGAUCAGUAGCCGACCUGAGAGGGUGAACGGCCACACUGGAACUGAGACACGGUCCAGACUCCUACGGGAGGCAGCAGUGGGGAAUAUUGCACAAUGGGCGCAAGCCUGAUGCAGCAACGCCGCGUGAAUGAUGAAGGCCUUCGGGUCGUAAAGUUCUGUCCUAAGGGAAGAAUACAGUGACGGUACCUUAGGAGGAAGCCCCGGCUAACUACGUGCCAGCCGCCGCGGUAA
Molecule: ribosomal RNA, 498 nt
Filed under: uncultured bacterium
Lineage: Bacteria
Description: partial 16S ribosomal RNA
Rfam family: Bacterial small subunit ribosomal RNA
Source: RNAcentral